GCUCUCUCUUUCUCCCUGCGGAGCGGCGCUGUUGGCGGGUAUGAUGGAGAAGCUUUCAGUGGUGUCCCAUAUGUUGUACAGAAGCAUUAAGCCCUUCAUGGAAGCACCAUUAGAAGCAGAAGAAUACUUGAUACACACAAGUGGAUUUUCCUGAAAGCUAUAAUGGCACAGAGUUUCUAAUAAUGGGAAUGUCAGAUACCCUGAUGAAAGAUUUGCUGGCAACUGUAGCCCAACAGAUAGAGGGAUGCUUGAACACUGCUUCUGAUUUGAAGGAAGAUGGUCAAAUAUAGGAACAAAUGCUUUUAGCUUAUUCAGUGCUGAGUUGGAACACUGUCAGUGCUGCCUGACAAAUGUAGAUGAUCUCUAACUGGAAGGAAGUGUAACACCUGAAGCGUUUUUGUGGCUUGGAGUGAAAUGCCAUGCUUUUAAAAACCUGCUGAAACAGCUGCUGCGAUUUUGUUUAGCAGAUACUGUUUUCAGAAACUGCUUGUGAAUCAAAAUCACUGUCUCUGCAUAUUUAAAACAGCGCUUUAACCAAAACACUGAGCUGCCCUCUGUAGGAAGGAUAGCAGCAAUAUUAGGGAAAUGAAUGUUGAGCUUCGAUACAUUGAAAAACCCCAGAGAGUAUUUUCCCUUUAAAAAUAUCAUAAGGGUAUCCAGACUUGAAUGAUUCUGAAGAUCGGGAAUAACUGAAAACAAUGGGACUCCCAGUUAGGCCCUGUAGAGAUGGGGAGAAAGCAAAAUGGACAUACAAAUUCAAACCAAUGAGUCUGCUUUUUGAGGGUGGUGUCCUCCAGGAGAUAGGAGGAAGCAGAUGAGGUGAUGGUGGUGCGAAAGCAUAAAUGUGAAACUCUUGUAAGAAAGAGGUGCAGGUGUCAUGAGGAAAGUCAUGGUUACAGAAAAGGCAAGGUCUAAAGCUUGCAUUGCUGUCUGUGUGGUGAGGGAGGGGGGAAUUGGGGGGUUUAUGGACUGCCACUUCAGCGUGGAAAGACCAGUACUGCAACAGUGGGGCUGCCCCAUGAGCACUACAGUGGCAAUGUAAUGGGACUUGCUGUGUGGGGAAAAGAGGUCACUAGUGGGAGAAGGGAGGAUAUGCAUUGGAACUUGUGCUUUCAGCAGUCCCUUGGAAGCCAACAGGGCUGUAUCAGUAACAGCCUACUUGCUGUGUUCAGCAAAUUGGCACUAUGCCACAGAGGCAUGGGGGAUCAUAAAUCGGUCAAUAAGUAACGUGGAUUUUAAAGACAAACCAUUGCAUGCAUAAGAUGCAGCCUGCCUUACAGCAAGACUCACACCUGUCAGGAAUGCUUUAGGAAGGAAGAAACAUGAGAAAGAUAGGACACCUAAAAUGAAUCUGAUAGGCUGUAGUUACUGAAGCACUUAAAUGCACCAGAAUACAGAAAAAUUACCCUAUAGUCUGCAGCCAAAAAUUACAGCAUUGGAUGCCAGCAGCUCUCUUCCUUUAGAAUUGGAGGAAUUCCUACAGCUCGUGGAAUGUGCUUGUAUUCAAUGAAAAGCCCAAUUUUCAGUCUAAGCAGUAUCAUCAUGAAAUGCAAAACACUACCAGUAGCAGUACCUAAAGUAUGAGGAAUCUCAAAUUUAAGUACACUACGGAUCUUGGUGAACUUUAGGAUUGUAUUGGGUCACUGAGUGUUUUGAUUAUGGUUAAUAAACACUACCAGGUGCUUUGGCUAAAGGGUGUUCCUUUUCAGCAAGUGACUCUCUAAAUCAGUAUUGAAUGUAUCAGAAUCUGCAGAAAUUUACUACAGCACAGCUUUCCCUUCUUUGCUUUCAACGGAAUUUCUCUGUGGUAACAUGUUACUGAGAAGGGUAGGUAUUGCCAUGUUUUGUACGUGCUCUUUCUUGAAUAAAGCCAAGGAUGUGAAAAACGUA
Molecule: long non-coding RNA, 1890 nt
Organism: Tyto alba (common barn owl)
Lineage: Eukaryota; Metazoa; Chordata; Aves; Strigiformes; Tytonidae
Exons: 7
Source: RefSeq, a predicted model, not a curated record